UACAGAGGUGGCAAGCGUUGUUCGGAAUUACUGGGCGUAAAGGGCUCGUAGGCGGCCAACUAAGUCGGAUGUGAAAUCCCCAGGCUUAACCUGGGAACUGCAUCUGAUACUGGAUGGCUUGAAUCCGGGAGAGGGAUGCAGAAUUCCAGGUGUAGCGGUGAAAUGCGUAGAUAUCUGGAGGAAUACCGGUGGCGAAGGCGGCAUCCUGGACCGGCAUCGACGCUGAUGAGCGAAAGCUAGGGGAGCAAACGGG
RNAcentral lists this ribosomal RNA (253 nucleotides) under uncultured bacterium. RNAcentral describes it as "partial 16S ribosomal RNA". It matches the Rfam family "Bacterial small subunit ribosomal RNA", at positions 524 to 776 of the family's 1533-position model. The record is from RNAcentral.